This 497-nucleotide ribosomal RNA is filed under the name uncultured bacterium. RNAcentral's name for it is "partial 16S ribosomal RNA". It matches the Rfam family "Bacterial small subunit ribosomal RNA", at positions 28 to 507 of the family's 1533-position model. The record is from RNAcentral.
GACGAACGCUGGCGGCGUGCCUAAUACAUGCAAGUUGAGCGCUGAAGGUUGGUACUUGUACCAACUGGAUGAGCAGCGAACGGGUGAGUAACACGUGGGGAAUCUGCCUUUGAGCGGGGGACAACAUUUGGAAACGAAUGCUAAUACCGCAUAAAAACUUUAAACACAAGUUUUAAGUUUGAAAGAUGCAAUUGCAUCACUCAAAGAUGAUCCCGCGUUGUAUUAGCUAGUUGGUGAGGUAAAGGCUCACCAAGGCGAUGAUACAUAGCCGACCUGAGAGGGUGAUCGGCCACAUUGGGACUGAGACACGGCCCAAACUCCUACGGGAGGCAGCAGUAGGGAAUCUUCGGCAAUGGACGAAAGUCUGACCGAGCAACGCCGCGUGAGUGAAGAAGGUUUUCGGAUCGUAAAACUCUGUUGGUAGAGAAGAACGUUGGUGAGAGUGGAAAGCUCAUCAAGUGACGGUAACUACCCAGAAAGGGACGGCUAACUACGUG